Long non-coding RNA from Sitophilus oryzae (rice weevil), 561 nucleotides. RefSeq lists it as uncharacterized. The transcript has 3 exons. Lineage: Eukaryota; Metazoa; Arthropoda; Insecta; Coleoptera; Curculionidae. The record is from RefSeq and is a predicted model, not a curated record.
UGUGCGCUCGUCCGUAAACCGUAAACGCAAAAAUAACUGUUAUCUCUUAUCUCUGUAGUAUCCUUGAGGAUGCCUUCCCUUGCUGCUGUUGGACAUGUUCUCAUAGCACCCGUGAUGCAGAUGCAUGUCAGUCUCUGUACAAUACUUUGCACAGGUUUUACCUUGCUGUACGUAGCUGUACCUUUGUGUACCAAGCAACUGUUCCAUAGAUUUCAGUUUCGCUAUUGAUUUCACGAGAGACGUCGUCGGAGAUUUCUACCCCGGCGAAAAUUUUAAGAUUUAUAUAUGGUCAUUUUUUACGGUUUGCAUAUAUUGCGUCGCCGCAACACCCACCAGCGGCAACACCACCGCCGCUCUUGGUGGAAGUGUGGGCGGACGAGGUAGGCCCCAUACAACUAACGGUAUGGGUCGAUGUUGAAAGCAACGUAGUCUACUUAUACUACUACACCAUACACACUGAAGAAGACGACUCGGAAGAUUACGACGAGUGAAGAUAAACCGAAAAUAAUAAUAAAUAUGGUGAUGAUUAUUAUUUGACGUUUGAAUAAAAAGUUAAAAGUA